Molecule: ribosomal RNA, 496 nt
Filed under: uncultured bacterium
Lineage: Bacteria
Description: partial 16S ribosomal RNA
Rfam family: Bacterial small subunit ribosomal RNA
Source: RNAcentral
GAUGAACGCUGGCGGCGUGCCUAAUACAUGCAAGUCGAGCGAACAGACGAGGAGCUUGCUCCUCUGACGUUAGCGGCGGACGGGUGAGUAACACGUGGAUAACCUACCUAUAAGACUGGGAUAACUUCGGGAAACCGGAGCUAAUACCGGAUAACAUGUUGAACCGCAUGGUUUAACAGUGAAAGACGGUCUUGCUGUAACUUAUAGAUGGAUCCGCGCCGCAUUAGCUAGUUGGUAAGGUAACGGCUUACCAAGGCAACGAUGCGUAGCCGACCUGAGAGGGUGAUCGGCCACAGUGGAGCUGAGACGCGGUCCAGACUCCUACGGGAGGCAGCAGUAGGGACUCGUCCGCAAUGGGCGAAAGCCUGACGGAGCAACGCAGCGUGAGUGAAGAAGGUCUUCGGAUCGUAAAACUCUGUUAUGAGGGAAGAACAAAUGUGUAAGUAACGAUGCACGUCUUGACGGUACCUAAACAGAAAGCCACGGCUAACUACGU